GCAUUCAGUUGCCAUCGGGUAAUGCCGGGCGACUCUGGAAGGACUGCCAUCGACAAGAUGGAGGAAGGUGGGGAUGACGUCAAGUCAUCAUGGCCCUUAUGUCCAGGGCGACACACGUGCUACAAUGGCCGGCACAACGGGAAGCGAGUUCGCGAGGACGAGCGGAUCCCUCAAAGACCGGUCGCAGUUCGGAUUGAAGUCUGCAACUCGACUUCAUGAAGCUGGAAUCGCUAGUAAUCGUGGAUCAGCCAAGCCGCGGUGAAUACGUUCCCGGGCCUU
This 279-nucleotide ribosomal RNA is filed under the name uncultured Synergistaceae bacterium. RNAcentral's name for it is "partial 16S ribosomal RNA". It matches the Rfam family "Bacterial small subunit ribosomal RNA", at positions 1107 to 1382 of the family's 1533-position model. The record is from RNAcentral. Lineage: Bacteria; Thermotogati; Synergistota; Synergistia; Synergistales; Synergistaceae.